UGAGGAAUAUUGGACAAUGUGCGCAAGCCUGAUCCAGCCAUGCCGCGUGCAGGAAGAAGCAUCUAUGGUGUGUAAACUGCUUUUGUACGGGAAGAAACACUCCUACGUGUAGGAGCUUGACGGUACCGUAAGAAUAAGGAUCGGCUAGCUCCGUGCCAGCAGCCGCGGUAAUACGGAGGAUCCAAGCGUUAUCCGGAAUCAUUGGGUUUAAAGGGUCCGUAGGCGGUUUAAUAAGUCAGUGGUGAAAGCCCAUCGCUCAACGAUGGAACGGCCAUUGAUACUGCUAGACUUGAAUUACAAGGAAGUAACUAGAAUAUGUAGUGUAGCGGUGAAAUGCUUAGAUAUUACAUGGAAUACCAAUUGCGAAGGCAGGUUACUACUUGUGGAUUGACGCUGAUGGACGAAAGCGUGGGGAGCGAACA
Molecule: ribosomal RNA, 422 nt
Filed under: uncultured bacterium
Lineage: Bacteria
Description: bacterial SSU rRNA
Rfam family: Bacterial small subunit ribosomal RNA
Source: RNAcentral